Molecule: transfer RNA, 90 nt
Filed under: bacterium
Lineage: Bacteria
Also listed under: 1 other name
Description: tRNA-Ser
Rfam family: tRNA
About the family: Transfer RNA (tRNA) molecules are approximately 80 nucleotides in length. Their secondary structure includes four short double-helical elements and three loops (D, anti-codon, and T loops). Further hydrogen bonds mediate the characteristic L-shaped molecular structure. tRNAs have two regions of fundamental functional importance: the anti-codon, which is responsible for specific mRNA codon recognition, and the 3' end, to which the tRNAs corresponding amino acid is attached (by aminoacyl-tRNA synthetases). tRNAs cope with the degeneracy of the genetic code in two manners: having more than one tRNA (with a specific anti-codon) for a particular amino acid; and 'wobble' base-pairing, i.e. permitting non-standard base-pairing at the 3rd anti-codon position.
Source: RNAcentral
GGAGGGGUGGCCGAGCGGUUGAAGGCGGCGGUCUUGAAAAUCGCUGUAGGGGCGACUCUACCGUGGGUUCGAAUCCCACCCCCUCCGCCA